This 1188-nucleotide long non-coding RNA is filed under the name Chloebia gouldiae (Gouldian finch). Its description in RNAcentral is "Erythrura gouldiae (Gouldian finch) lncRNA (ENSEGOG00005008877.1)". Lineage: Eukaryota; Metazoa; Chordata; Aves; Passeriformes; Passeridae. The record is from RNAcentral.
GCCACCCAGCUCCCACCCCACAGGGGCUGAGCAUCAGAUGUGCAUGGCAGCGUUCUGUCUGCAGGGCUGGAGCCUCAUCCACACAUCUGUCACACUCCUCUAUGGCUGCCACCUUCUUCCAUGGGGCUGGAACCCUCUUUUAUGGUUGGCACCUUCCUCUAGCACUGGCACCCAGAGGAUUUUGGUUGUCCACAUCUGGCAGGUGUCCCCAGACCAAGCUGCAGAGGUGACUCUUGAGCAGCCAGGCAGGUGCAAGCAGCCACGGGGACUUCAGGAACUGUGGGGACAGCGUGAGGGUGGGCAGGGACAGCAACGAGGCAGGGAGCAGAUGACAGCACUGGGGAGGAAAUGCUGAGCGAGCGAUGAGCGGGGUGGCUGGGGGGGCAGGAAGGGAGGAGCGGGCAGGGAAGGGCUUCACAGUUAUAUACUUGUCCCUCUCGGUCCCCGCGGCCUCCGAGCAGCGCGGCCAUGGCUGAGGGCCAGAAACGACGGGGCUUCAAGAAAUUCAAGUUUUUCAGGUUCAAAGGCUUUGGGAGCCUGAGCAGCAUCCCCCGCUCCUUCACCUUCCGGCGUGUCCCUGUGGACCCCAGCUCUCCUGACAAUCUCAGACCACAUGUCCCACCUCCCCACGGCUUCCCGGGAGAGCCCUUUGACAGCACCCAGGAUGAUCUCAGCACCAUGCCCAAGAGCCCUGGCCCCUACGCCCAGUCGUCGAACAUGUACUCCCACAUGGGCACCAUGCCCAGGGUGAAUCUGGGCAAGGCAGGGAAGAGCCUGGGCAAAGACAAGAGUAGGCAGAACUGCUGGGAGAAAGGGACUCCCAAGAACAAAGCCCCCCAGGCAGCCCCACUCCCCAGCCUCAAGUGCCCUGAGAUGUCCAGCACCCCUGGCCCAGGCACAGACUCACCCUUGGCUGCUGGAGAAGAAGAGCAGGAAGAGGAAAAAGCUGAACCUGGGGACACCGUGGAGGCAGCAAUGGACAGGACAGACCAGGAGCCUGUGGGAAAUGUCUCCUGCCCUAGGACAGAGUCACCGAGCUCCAGCCUGGCUCCAAACCCCACCCAAACCACAAGUCCUGACACAGCAGGUGGAGCAGAGACCACUGGUGGGGAUCUGCUGGAAAAGGGACAAGAGCAUCCUGACAAGAUCUCCCCAGACAGGUAUAGCCCUUGAGGUUUGCUCUGCCUU